CGUUGAAGACUACGACGUUGAUAGGUUGGAUGUGGAAGUGCGGUGACGCAUGAAGCUGACCAAUACUAAUUGCUCGUGAGGCUUGACUAUACAACACCCAAACAGUUG
This 108-nucleotide ribosomal RNA is filed under the name Acinetobacter sp. SwsAc6. Its description in RNAcentral is "partial 23S ribosomal RNA". The stretch from base 1 to 90 matches the Rfam family "Bacterial large subunit ribosomal RNA", at positions 2836 to 2925 of the family's 2925-position model. Lineage: Bacteria; Pseudomonadati; Pseudomonadota; Gammaproteobacteria; Moraxellales; Moraxellaceae. The record is from RNAcentral.